UUCCUUGAUUUUGGCAGCU
Molecule: small nuclear RNA, 19 nt
Filed under: Arabidopsis thaliana (thale cress)
Lineage: Eukaryota; Viridiplantae; Streptophyta; Magnoliopsida; Brassicales; Brassicaceae
Description: snRNA_10801
Source: RNAcentral